AGAGUUUGAUCAUGGCUCAGAAUCAACGCUGGCGGCGUGCCUAACACAUGCAAGUCGAGCGAGAAAGGGUAGCAAUACCUGAGUAAAGCGGCGCACGGGUGAGUAACACGUGACUAACCUACCCUCGAGUGGGGAAUAACUUCGGGAAACCGAGGCUAAUACCGCAUAAUACCCACGGGUCAAAGGAGCAAUCCGCUUGAGGAGGGGGUCGCGGCCGAUUAGUUAGUUGGCGGGGUAAUGGCCCACCAAGACGAUGAUCGGUAUCCGGCCUGAGAGGGCGCACGGACACACUGGAACUGACACACGGUCCAGACUCCUACGGGAGGCAGCAGUGGGGAAUUUUGCGCAAUGGGGGAAACCCUGACGCAGCAACGCCGCGUGGAGGAUGAAGUCCUUCGGGACGUAAACUCCUUUCGAUCGGGACGAUUAUGACGGUACCGGAAGAAGAAGCCCCGGCUUACUUCGUGCCGGCAGCCGCGGUAAUACGAGGGGGGCGAACCGUUGCUCGGAAUUAUUGGGCGUUAAAGGGCGCUUAGGCCGGGUUGGGAAGGCUUUUGUU
RNAcentral lists this ribosomal RNA (559 nucleotides) under uncultured soil bacterium. Its description in RNAcentral is "bacterial SSU rRNA". It matches the Rfam family "Bacterial small subunit ribosomal RNA", at positions 8 to 596 of the family's 1533-position model. The record is from RNAcentral.